GGCGGCGUGCCUAACACAUGCAAGUCGAACGGAGAUGUUUAUUUCGGUAGACAUCUUAGUGGCGCACGGGUGAGUAACGCGUGAAUAACCUGACCCGAAGAGGGGGAUAACACCUGGAAACAAGUGCUAAUACCGCAUAAGACCACGGACCGGCAUCGGUCAGAGGUCAAAGGAGAAAUCCGCUUUGGGAGGGGUUCGCGUCCCAUUAGGUAGUUGGUGAGGUAACGGCCCACCAAGCCGACGAUGGGUAGCCGAGCUGAGAGGCUGAUCGGCCACACUGGAACUGAGACACGGUCCAGACUCCUACGGGAGGCAGCAGUGGGGAAUAUUGGGCAAUGGGCGCAAGCCUGACCCAGCAACGCCGCGUGAGGGAAGAAGGUUUUCGGAUUGUAAACCUCUGUCGCAGGGGACGAAGGAAGUGACGGUACCCUGUAAGAAAGCCCCGGCUAACUACGUGCCAGCAGCCGCGGUAAUACGUAGGGGGCGAGCGUUGUCCGGAAUUACUGGGCGUAAAGGGAGCGUAGGCGGUCGAUUAAGUUAGAUGUGAAACCCCCGGGCUUAACUUGGGGACUGCAUCUAAUACUGGUGACUUAGAGUACAGGAGAGGGAAGCGGAAUUCCUAGUGUAGCGGUGAAAUGCGUAGAUAUUAGGAGGAACACCAGUGGCGAAGGCGGCUUUCUGGACUGACACUGACGCUGAGGCU
Molecule: ribosomal RNA, 703 nt
Filed under: uncultured bacterium
Lineage: Bacteria
Description: bacterial SSU rRNA
Rfam family: Bacterial small subunit ribosomal RNA
Source: RNAcentral